CAUUACCUGAGCCCACCCGUGCUCACCUGAGCCCACCUGUGCCCAUUACCUGUGCCCACCCAUGCCCACCUGAGCCCACCCGUGCCCAUUACCUGAGCCCACCCGUGCCCACCUGAGCCCACCUGUGCCCAUUACCUGAGCUCACCCGUGCCCACCUGUGCCCAUUCCCUGAGCUCACCUGUGCCCACCUGAGCUCACCCGUGCCCACCCGUGCCCACCCGUGCCCACCUGAGCCCACCUGAGCCCACCCGUGCCCACCUGUGCCCGCAGACAUCGACGAGUGCCGCCAGGUGCCCCCGCCCUGCUCUCCGGGGCGCUGCGAGAAUUCCGUGGGGAGCUUCCGGUGCCUCUGCGGGGCCGGCUUCACCUCCGAGCCCGCGGGCACCGAGUGCCGAGACAUUGACGAGUGCCGCCAGGUGCCCCCGCCCUGCUCUCCGGGGCGCUGCGAGAAUUCCGUGGGGAGCUUCCGGUGCCUCUGCGGCGCCGGCUUCACCUCCGAGCCCGCGGGCACCGAGUGCCGAGGUCAGCGGCGCACCUGGGCACACCUGGGCACACCUGGAUACACCUGGGUACCCCCAAACCACACCUGGGUACCCCCAAACCACACCUGGGCGCACCUGGGUACCCCCAAACCACACCUGGGCACACCUG
Molecule: long non-coding RNA, 651 nt
Filed under: Chloebia gouldiae (Gouldian finch)
Lineage: Eukaryota; Metazoa; Chordata; Aves; Passeriformes; Passeridae
Description: Erythrura gouldiae (Gouldian finch) lncRNA (ENSEGOG00005017883.1)
Source: RNAcentral